UGGGUAGGGGAGCGUCGUGUGCCGGGUGAAGCAGCGCCGGAAGGUAGUUGUGGACGGUUCACGAGUGAGAAUGCAGGCAUGAGUAGCGAUACACACGUGGGAAACGUGUGCGCCGAUUGACUAAGGGUUCCUGGGUCAAGCUGAUCUGCCCAGGGUAAGUCGGGACCUAAGGCGAGGCCGACAGGCGUAGUCGAUGGACAACCGGUUGAUAUUCCGGUACCCGCUUUGAAGCGCCAAACAUCGAAUCCUCUGAUGCUAAGGCCGUGAAGCCGCCCUG
Molecule: ribosomal RNA, 277 nt
Filed under: Streptomyces rimosus subsp. pseudoverticillatus
Lineage: Bacteria; Bacillati; Actinomycetota; Actinomycetes; Kitasatosporales; Streptomycetaceae
Description: partial 23S ribosomal RNA
Rfam family: Bacterial large subunit ribosomal RNA
Source: RNAcentral